Molecule: ribosomal RNA, 450 nt
Filed under: uncultured bacterium
Lineage: Bacteria
Description: bacterial SSU rRNA
Rfam family: Bacterial small subunit ribosomal RNA
Source: RNAcentral
UCCCAGACUCCUACGGGAGGCAGCAGUGGGGAAUAUUGCACAAUGGGCGAAAGCCUGAUGCAGCAACGCCGCGUGAAGGAAGACGGUUUUCGGAUUGUAAACUUCUGUUCUUAGUGAAGAAUAAUGACGGUAACUAAGGAGCAAGCCACGGCUAACUACGUGCCAGCAGCCGCGGUAAUACGUAGGUGGCAAGCGUUGUCCGGAAUUACUGGGUGUAAAGGGAGCGUAGGCGGGAAGCCAAGUCAGCUGUGAAAACUACGGGCUUAACCUGUAGACUGCAGUUGAAACUGGCUUUCUUGAGUGAAGUAGAGGUUGGCGGAAUUCCGAGUGUAGCGGUGAAAUGCGUAGAUAUUCGGAGGAACACCGGUGGCGAAGGCGGCCCCCUGGACGAAGACUGACGCUCAGGUGCGAAAGCGUGGGGAGCAAACAGGAUUAGAUACCCGGGUACAG